Molecule: small nucleolar RNA, 132 nt
Organism: Mesocricetus auratus (golden hamster)
Lineage: Eukaryota; Metazoa; Chordata; Mammalia; Rodentia; Cricetidae
Gene: SNORA70
Rfam family: Small nucleolar RNA SNORA70
About the family: snoRNA U70 seems to be exclusive to mammals and is a member of the H/ACA class of snoRNA which contain H (ANANNA) and ACA box motifs. H/ACA box snoRNAs are involved in the conversion of uridines to pseudouridines (5-ribosyluracil) a constituent of structural RNAs (transfer, ribosomal, small nuclear, and small nucleolar).
Source: Ensembl
CUGCAACCACAAGUAAGCCAAUCAGGUUCCUCUCCUCACAGCUUCCAUGUGCAAUGGCUGUGAACAGCAGCAUUCUUGGAAAUACAUACAGCCCACUGUUUAUGAGAUGCUCUAAGGGACCAUGGGACAGUC